RNAcentral lists this transfer RNA (69 nucleotides) under Smaug giganteus. RNAcentral's name for it is "tRNA-Val". It matches the Rfam family "tRNA". Rfam says of the family: Transfer RNA (tRNA) molecules are approximately 80 nucleotides in length. Their secondary structure includes four short double-helical elements and three loops (D, anti-codon, and T loops). Further hydrogen bonds mediate the characteristic L-shaped molecular structure. tRNAs have two regions of fundamental functional importance: the anti-codon, which is responsible for specific mRNA codon recognition, and the 3' end, to which the tRNAs corresponding amino acid is attached (by aminoacyl-tRNA synthetases). tRNAs cope with the degeneracy of the genetic code in two manners: having more than one tRNA (with a specific anti-codon) for a particular amino acid; and 'wobble' base-pairing, i.e. permitting non-standard base-pairing at the 3rd anti-codon position. Lineage: Eukaryota; Metazoa; Chordata; Lepidosauria; Squamata; Cordylidae. The record is from RNAcentral.
CAAAGAGUAGCUUAAACAAAGCAUUCAACUUACAAUUGAAAAACGUUAAAUUCCACCUAACCUCUUUGC